RNAcentral lists this ribosomal RNA (431 nucleotides) under uncultured bacterium. Its description in RNAcentral is "bacterial SSU rRNA". It matches the Rfam family "Bacterial small subunit ribosomal RNA", at positions 28 to 477 of the family's 1533-position model. The record is from RNAcentral.
AAUGAACGUUGGCGGCGUGGAUUAGGCAUGCAAGUCGAGCGUACCCAGCAAUGGGGAAGCGGCAAACGGGGUAGUAAUGCGUCGGUACGUGCCCUCGGGACGAGGAUAGCCACGGGAAACUGUGGGUAAUACUCGAUGAUCUCGCGAGAGCAAAGGUGUGACUCCGCCGGAGGAGCGGCUGACGUGGUAUUAGGUAGUUGGUAGGGUAAUGGCCUACCAAGCCUGGGAUGCCUAGGGGGUGUGAGAGCAUGGCCCCCACCAUUGGGACUGAGAAACUGCCCAGACACCUACGGUGGCUGCAGUCGAGGAUCUUCGGCAAUGGGCGCAAGCCUGACCGAGCGACGCCGCGUGCGGGAUGAAGGCCUUCGGUUGUAACCGACUGUCAGGGGGAGUGAAAGUCAUGGUGGGUACGUCCCAUCAUGUUGACAGAG